RNAcentral lists this ribosomal RNA (475 nucleotides) under uncultured organism. RNAcentral's name for it is "partial 16S ribosomal RNA". It matches the Rfam family "Bacterial small subunit ribosomal RNA", at positions 332 to 798 of the family's 1533-position model. The record is from RNAcentral.
UACACUCCUGCGGGAGGCAGCAGUGGGGAAUAUUGCACAAUGGGCGCAAGCCUGAUGCAGCCAUGCCGCGUGUAUGAAGAAGGCCUUCGGGUUGUAAAGUACUUUCAGCGGGGAGGAAGGCGAUAAGGUUAAUAACCUUGUUGAUUGACGUUACCCGCAGAAGAAGCACCGGCUAACUCCGUGCCAGCAGCCGCGGUAAUACGGAGGGUGCAAGCGUUAAUCGGAAUUACUGGGCGUAAAGCGCACGCAGGCGGUCUGUCAAGUCGGAUGUGAAAUCCCCGGGCUCAACCUGGGAACUGCAUUCGAAACUGGCAGGCUAGAGUCUUGUAGAGGGGGGUAGAAUUCCAGGUGUAGCGGUGAAAUGCGUAGAGAUCUGGAGGAAUACCGGUGGCGAAGGCGGCCCCCUGGACAAAGACUGACGCUCAGGUGCGAAAGCGUGGGGAGCAAACAGGAUUAGAUACCCCUGUAGUCCCAU